This is a long non-coding RNA of Alexandromys fortis (reed vole), 3915 nucleotides long. RefSeq lists it as uncharacterized. NCBI's taxonomy places the organism in Eukaryota, Metazoa, Chordata, Mammalia, Rodentia, Cricetidae. The transcript has 3 exons. The record is from RefSeq and is a predicted model, not a curated record.
AUCCCACUGGUGCACAGGUCUGUAAAGCAGAUGGAAUCAUUGUGUCGGGGAAACACUGGAACUUUGAUAUUUCUUGCAGUAGUACUGACAACAGUCAUCUCAGAAGCAGCCUGCUUGCCCAUUGGCCGAGGGAGGCCAAGACUGGAAUGGCAAGAAUACAUAGAAUGAGAUCUCAUUUAGCUUAAAAAUUGAAAUCUUUUGAAAGUAGAAAGGGGACUACAAGAGGGAAGAAAGGAAUCCUAAGGGAGAUAGAAAAAAAAGAGUAAUGAAAUCAUGUGACAUGAACAUAGAAGGGGGGGCUCUUCCGCAGGAGGAAAAGGUGCAGUAAGAGGUAGGGAGAAUGGAUAAAUAAGAACAAAAUAUGACACCCACAUAUGGAAAUGCCCUAAUGAAAGCCAUUAUGUACUGCUAACUUAAAAAUGCAAUCUAGAAAGCGAUACUACAGGAGGAAGAUGAAGUCUAUGGUUUUCAGGUUUCUUUCCUCCAUCACUGAAUGUAUUUUAUCACCAUGUUCAGAAUGUGACUUGCCUCUUCAUGCCUACAUCCCUUUUUUUUUAAGAGUAGAGUCUCCUUUGUGAACUCAGUUGCCCUGGAUUUCCCCACUGCCCUCAUCCCCUUUUUUCCCACUCAAUGCUAUACAAACCAAAUAUGCCAUAUACGAAAUUGUCUCCAAUGUCUCUACACAAAACAACAUUCAAGGACUUUAAACUCAGAGUUACAUUUUAGGGUGGAAGCAGUCAGAGAAAAAAAAGAUAACUUUCUGAUUUUCUUUAAAAUGAAUUAUUCGAAUCUGCAUUUCUAAAGUCUAGCAGAAAAAUGGCUGCUCCAAUUAUUAUGCAAGGCAAGACAGCUAGCAAGAUUUAAUGCAAGCUUACCCUUGCUCCCAUGGGCUUCAGAAUAUUGCCUCUUCCUUGUGAUGGGUUUUCCCAAGAAUUCGCUUUUGUUUAGGAUUUCCAUCUUUGUGGUCAUGAGAUUCGACCUUGGAAGAUGUUAGUGAGGUAAAGAUGAAGGACUAUUUCUGUUACUUCCGUGGAAAACUGUGAGUGGAAAAAUGCUGUUCUAACUCCACCUGAAAGAGAAGGCACAUUCACCAGAAGAUGAAAAUGUAUUCUCAAAAUGUCAAAGGGAGAAGAGCCCGUGGCAGCCUAGGAUGGACAUGCUUUGUUCCAUAGUUAUUUUCAGGUAAUGCUAGAGAAUCAGAAGGAGCCAGCUUUGGGCUUUAGCUCUUGAGCUCCUAAUCUCACGUAGAAGUCAUCUGAGGGGCCAUUUGAAGAAAUCAGUGCAGCAGUAGGUUAUGUGUAGGCAUUUAUAAUCUGGUGCGGGAACUAUGAAUCGUAAAAACAGGCAGAGCACGGGAAGUCAGUGGCUUAGAUUUGAAGGGAGGGAAUCGCCACCAAAACUGAGUGUUUCUCAUUGUGUGACACUGCAUUAUCUCCUUGCUUCAUCUGCAUUAAUGUAGGUUUGUUUUCAACCAACAGAGUGUGUUCUGUGUGCUAGGCAAUAGUGUCGGUGCUGGAAACAAAACCUGUACAGGUAAGACCAAAAUAUAAGGUGAACAAGAAGAGUGCUGUUGAGUUCCUCAGGAGAGAAAUAGGGGCAGAGAACAGCACACAAACCUGUGGAAGGGUAGCCUUCAGCUGCACACCUGUGCUGGGGGGGGGGAGUGUGGUGUCUUAUGGAAAGCUGUUCAAGACAGAUGGAAUAGUGCAAAGGGCCUGAGACAGGUAUCUGAGCAAAAGUAAAGAGACCAAUGGUGCUUGAGCUUCAGAGUAAAGGGGAGGAAAGGAGAAUAGAAGAAUAAAAUGGGAGUCAGAUCGUGUGGAACUCAGAAAGUGCCAAGGAGGGCUUUCCUAUCAAUAUGGUAAUCAUUAGUGUACGAGGCUGUGGGUGGGUUUGGAAAGAAGAGUCUCAUGUGGUAUGGUUUGAACAAGCCUCCACUCCUCAAAGUAGUGGUUGCUUUAUUAAUUUAUUUUAAAAGUUUAUUUAUUGUUGUAUGUGUGCAUGCCUGCAUGUGCGUGUAUGUGUGUGCACAUGUGGGGGGCAUGCGCAUGCCAUGGUGCACAUGUGGAAGUCAGAGCACAACUUUCCAGAGUUGGUCUCUCCUUCCACCCUGAUUUCAAGGGAGCGAAGUCAGGUCACCAGCUUCUUGUAACAAGUGCUUUUACUCACUGAGGCAUAAUGCCAGUUUCAGUAUCUGACAGAUUUUCAAGCAUCGCCUAGUUGCUGUGCUGAGAUGGACUAUAGAGAACCAGAGAGAUUUAGAAACUAUUUACAAGGUUGCUAGAACAAUCCAGUUGAGAGCCUGUGGUGGUAGUGGAGAGGAUUAAAAAGUUCUGUAUUCUGGAAUCUAUUGAUGGAUGGAGCACAGAUAUAAAUAGCAGAGAAAAUGAAGAUUCUGAGGGCCUUAUCUCUCCAGAUAUAAUUUACACAGCUGUAAGGACAAUGCAAUAAGUACACGUACCUUUCCACACUGAGAUGCUGCACUAGCUCUUGUAGACCAGGCUGACCUAGAACUCACAGGGAUCCUCCUGCCUCUGCCUCCGGAGUUCUGGGAUUAAAGACGUGCACCACCACUGCCUAGAUAAGGUGCUGCAAUUCUUAGUCUGACAUAAAGCACUUUAGCGUCCCUGUCAUCUUUUAAAACUCAGUGUUCACCUCUUUUCUUAUUGACUGUAUUUAGUUGAACGCUGUUUUCUGUGUGAUGUUGUAGAUCAGGAUGCAGCUAUGAGGAAUGAUACAGAAAAUCCCCAUGUACAAAAUAAUUAGCAUAAGUCGUAUAUUGACAGUCAAUAACCCAGUAAACAUAAACAGAUUUUUGUUUAUCCUUGUUUGUGGGACCUCUGUGUAAUAAAAACAAAUAAUUUGUGGAUGAAGAAAGUAUGGAAUAUAUACAUAUUAGAGUACUACUCAGCAGUAAAAAACAAUGACUUCUUGAAUUUUUCAUGCAAAUGGACGGAAAUAGAAAACACAAUCCUGAGUGAGGUAAGCCAGACCUAAAAAGAGGAACAUGGGAUAUACUCACUCAUAAUUGGUUUCUAGCCACAAAUAAAGGACAUUGAGCAUAGAAUUCCUGAUCCUAGAGAAGCUAAAUAAAAAGGCGAACCCAAAGAAAAACAUAUAGGCAUCCUCCUGGAUAUUAACCUUCAUCAGGCGAUGAAAGGAGACAGAGACAGAGUCCCACAUUGGAGCACCGGACUGAAACCCCAAGGCCCAAAUCAGGAGCAGAAGGAGAGAGAGCACGAGAAAGGAACUCAGGACCGCGAGGGGUGCACCCACACACUGAGACAAUGGGGAUGUUCUAUCGGGAAUGCACCAAGGCCAGCUGGACUGGGUCUGAAAAAGCAUGGGAUAAAACCGAACUCGCUGAACAUAGCAGACAAUGGGUACUGCUGAGAAGUCAAGAACAAUGGCACUGGGUUUUGAUCCUACUGCACAUACUGGCUUUGUGGGAGCCUAUGCUGUUUGGAUGCUCACCUUACUAGACCUGGAUGGAGGGUGCUUUGGAAUUAAAGAUUAAUUUGCUUCUUAUCCUGGAGCCAAUAAGCAUCUAUGACUAAUUAUAACAGGAAUGAAGAUAUUCUCAAGAGACACUCACAUCUUUCCCUUUGGUCAAUAGACUCCCAAGACAAUGGACCCCAGCGAAUUGGAUUUUCACACUGAAAGAACAAAAGACUGAAUUCUGGUACUAUCCAGAGAAGAAGCUUGUCUCCAGGAAGAGACUGUACCAAGUUUUGGCAGUUUGUUAGAUCACUGUCACAAGAGUAGUGGAUUCAUGAUUGGCAGGACCACAGAUUAACCCAGGACUGUUCAGUUAUGCAGACUUCUUGCCCUCUAUUUAAAUCUAAACCUCAUGUCAAGACCUCAGAAGAUGGGCUUGGGGACUGUCUCUGGACUCUUUGUUCCUCUUCCCAAGGG